Molecule: transfer RNA, 53 nt
Filed under: Steinernema riobrave
Lineage: Eukaryota; Metazoa; Nematoda; Chromadorea; Rhabditida; Steinernematidae
Description: tRNA-His
Source: RNAcentral
CUUUUUAGUUUAAAUAAAAACGUUUGCUUGUGGUGCAUAAAAUCUUGGAGCUU